CUAGUAGCUGGUUCCCUCCGAAGUUUCCCUCAGGAUAGCUGGUGCAUUUUGAUAUUAUGUAAAAUAAUCUUAUCUGGUAAAGCGAAUGAUUAGAGGCCUUAGGGUCGAAACGACCUUAACCUAUUCUCAAACUUUAAAUGGGUAAGAACCUCACCUUUCUUGAUAUGAAGGUUGAGGUUAUGAUAUAAUGUGCCCAGUGGGCCACUUUUGGUAAGCAGAACUGGCGCUGUGGGAUGAACCAAACGUAAUGUUACGGUGCCUAAAUUAACAACUCAUGCAGAUACCAUGAAAGGCGUUGGUUGCUUAAAACAGCAGGACGGUGGACAUGGAAGUCGUAAUCCGCUAAGGAGUGUGUAACAACUCACCUGCCGAAGCAACUAGCCCUUAAAAUGGAUGGCGCUUAAGUUGUAUACCUAUACAUUACCGCUAAAGUACAUGAUUUAUAAAGCAAUUUCGGNUGUUUUUAUAAAUUUUGAAACUUUAGUGAGUAGGAGGGUACAAUGGUGUGCUUAGAAGUGUUUGGCGUAAGCCUACAUGGAGCCGCCAUUGGUACAGAUCUUGGUGGUAGUAGCAAAUAAUCGAAUGAGACCUUGGAGGACUGAAGUGGAGAAGGNUUUCGUGUGAACAGUGGUUGAUCACGAGUUA
Molecule: ribosomal RNA, 645 nt
Filed under: Carpomya schineri
Lineage: Eukaryota; Metazoa; Arthropoda; Insecta; Diptera; Tephritidae
Description: partial 28S ribosomal RNA
Rfam family: Eukaryotic large subunit ribosomal RNA
Source: RNAcentral